Molecule: ribosomal RNA, 484 nt
Filed under: uncultured bacterium
Lineage: Bacteria
Description: partial 16S ribosomal RNA
Rfam family: Bacterial small subunit ribosomal RNA
Source: RNAcentral
AGUGAACGCUGGCGGCAGGCCUAACACAUGCCAGUCGAGCGGCCGCGGGUCCUUCGGGCUGCCGGCGAGCGGCGGACGGGUGAGGAAUACAUCGGAAUCUGCCCUGUCGUGGGGGAUAACCUAGGGAAACUUAGGCUAAUACCGCAUACGACCUACGGGUGAAAGCGGGGGAUCGCAAGACCUCGCGCGACAGGAUGAGCCGAUGUCCGAUUAGCUAGUUGGCGGGGUAAAGGCCCACCAAGGCGACGAUCGGUAGCUGGUCUGAGAGGAUGAUCAGCCACACUGGGACUGAGACACGGCCCAGACUCCUACGGGAGGCAGCAGUGGGGAAUAUUGGACAAUGGGCGCAAGCCUGAUCCAGCCAUGCCGCGUGGGUGAAGAAGGCCUUCGGGUUGUAAAGCCCUUUUGUCCGGGAAGAAAUCGUCUGGGCUAAUACCCCGGGCGGAUGACGGUACCGGAAGAAUAAGCACCGGCUAACUUCGUG